UUACCGGUGUUAAACUCAAACAGCAGUGCACAACAUUAAUAACUAUGAUUGGGAAUGUCGUGUAUAUAACAUUGUAAUGAGAACAUUAUUAUAAU
This is a long non-coding RNA of Sinocyclocheilus rhinocerous, 95 nucleotides long. RefSeq lists it as uncharacterized. NCBI's taxonomy places the organism in Eukaryota, Metazoa, Chordata, Actinopteri, Cypriniformes, Cyprinidae. The transcript is spliced from 3 exons. The record is from RefSeq and is a predicted model, not a curated record.